This is a long non-coding RNA of Octopus sinensis (East Asian common octopus), 110 nucleotides long. RefSeq lists it as uncharacterized. Lineage: Eukaryota; Metazoa; Mollusca; Cephalopoda; Octopoda; Octopodidae. The transcript is spliced from 3 exons. The record is from RefSeq and is a predicted model, not a curated record.
AGCCAAGGGUUUUUUCAUGUUAGGGAACAGAUGAUAGCCAGAUGGGGCUAAAUCAAAAGAAUAGGGAGGCUGAUCAACCAUUUCAAAGCCACACUUGUUCACAGGAGCCA